AGUGAACGCUGGCGGUAGGCCUAACACAUGCAAGUCGAACGGCAGCACAGUAAGAGCUUGCUCUUACGGGUGGCGAGUGGCGGACGGGUGAGGAAUACAUCGGAAUCUACUUUUUCGUGGGGGAUAACGUAGGGAAACUUACGCUAAUACCGCAUACGACCUACGGGUGAAAGCAGGGGAUCUUCGGACCUUGCGCGAUUGAAUGAGCCGAUGUCGGAUUAGCUAGUUGGCGGGGUAAAGGCCCACCAAGGCGACGAUCCGUAGCUGGUCUGAGAGGAUGAUCAGCCACACGGGAACUGAGAAACGGUCCAGAAACCUACGGGAGGCAGCAGUGGGGAAUAUUGGACAAUGGGCGCAAGCCUGAUCCAGCCAUACCGCGUGGGUGAAGAAGGCCUGCGGGUUGUAAAGCCCUUUUGUUGGGAAAGAAAAGCAGCAGGUUAAUACCCCGCUGUUCGGACGGGACCCAAAGAAUAAGCACCGGCUAACUUCGU
RNAcentral lists this ribosomal RNA (491 nucleotides) under uncultured bacterium. RNAcentral's name for it is "partial 16S ribosomal RNA". It matches the Rfam family "Bacterial small subunit ribosomal RNA", at positions 29 to 506 of the family's 1533-position model. The record is from RNAcentral.